Molecule: ribosomal RNA, 466 nt
Filed under: uncultured bacterium
Lineage: Bacteria
Description: partial 16S ribosomal RNA
Rfam family: Bacterial small subunit ribosomal RNA
Source: RNAcentral
GAUGAACGCUGGCGGCGUGCUUAACACAUGCAAGUCGAACGAUGAAGCCCAGCUUGCUGGGUGGAUUAGUGGCGAACGGGUGAGUAACACGUGAGUAACCUGCCCUUAACUCUGGGAUAAGCCUGGGAAACUGGGUCUAAUACCGGAUAGGAGCGCCUACCGCAUGGUGGGUGUUGGAAAGAUUUAUCGGUUUUGGAUGGACUCGCGGCCUAUCAGCUUGUUGGUGAGGUAAUGGCUCACGAAGGCGACGACGGGUAGCCGGCCUGAGAGGGUGACCGGCCACACUGGGACUGAGAGACGGCCCAGACUCCUACGGGAGGCAGCAGUGGGGAAUAUUGCACAAUGGGCGAAAGCCUGAUGCAGCGACGCCGCGUGAGGGAUGACGGCCUUCGGGUUGUAAACCUCUUUCAGUAGGGAAGAAGCGAAAGUGACGGUACCUGCAGAAGAAGCACCGGCUAACUACGUG